Molecule: ribosomal RNA, 548 nt
Filed under: Lysmata wurdemanni
Lineage: Eukaryota; Metazoa; Arthropoda; Malacostraca; Decapoda; Hippolytidae
Description: partial 16S ribosomal RNA
Rfam family: Bacterial large subunit ribosomal RNA
Source: RNAcentral
GUCUGUUUGAGAAAUCUAUAAAUAGUCUAGCCUGCCCACUGGGUUACUAAAGGGCCGCGGUACACUGACCGUGCGAAGGUAGCAUAAUAAUUAGUUCUUUAAUUGAGGGCUGGAAUGAACGGUUGAACGAGAAGUUAGCUGUCUCUAAGGUAGGUCUUGAACUUUACCUUUAAGUGAAAAGGCUUAAAUAAUAUAAAGGGACGAUAAGACCCUAUAAAACUUUACUUUCUAUUUUAAAAAUUUUAAAAUUAAUGUGUAAAUUUGUUUUUGGAAGAGAUGUUCUGUUGGGGCGACAGGAAUAUAAAAUACUAACUGUUCUUGGAAAAGAAAAUAAUAAUAAUUAGAUUUGAUGAUCCUUUAAUAUGGAUUACAAGAUUAAGUUACUUUAGGGAUAACAGCGUAAUUUCUCUUGAGAGACCUUAUCGACAGAGUUAGUUGCGACCUCGAUGUUGAAUUAAGAUGCCGCUCAGGUGCAGGAGCCUGGGCAGUGGGUCUGUUCGACCUUUAAAAUCUUACAUGAUUUGAGUUCAAACCGGCGUGAACCAGGU